Long non-coding RNA from Sarcophilus harrisii (Tasmanian devil), 1683 nucleotides. Lineage: Eukaryota; Metazoa; Chordata; Mammalia; Dasyuromorphia; Dasyuridae. The record is from Ensembl.
UCCCAUGCUGAUGGGUUUGUGUAUACCUGUUUCCAGUAAGAUCCUUUAGCCCAGAAACCCACUCACAAUAUCUGGCUUGACUCCCCACUUUUCUUUGGUGUUUUUCAUGUCUCUUCCUGAGAAGUCAGGGCUGAGAUGUAGAGGGCUGAAACUCCAAAAAGUUCGCUCCCCAAACAGAAAACAGACCUCAGAGUGUAUGGAAAUCAGCCUCACCCACAACUUGUCUAGUUCUGAUUAAACUCUGGGCGGAGCCAUCAGCCUGUUGCGAAGAUCCCAAUCACCAUAGUUACCAUCAAUGCAACAAUGACCCACUGGGACUUUUAAGUCUCAGCAGCCACUACUGCCUUUUGCAUUGUAGACGCCAAGCCCAGCUGUAGAAGACCCAAAUGUGGCAGAAGCAGACCCAGCUGUGGCCCGGAUGGCCUCGUGCUACCGGUGGGAACGAGAGGAUCAUCUCAAUGAAGGUACUGUAAAUAAUAAAUGGUUCAGUGUAAGAAGGGACUAAAAUUUCAUCAACCGGGAAUAUCACCAAGGAAGAUGCAUUUGUACACCAGACUGCCAUAAAGAAUAAAAAUGCAAGAAGUACCUUCACAGUAAAGAAGAUAGGGAGACUGUGAGAUUUAAUGUUGUCUAAGCAAAAAGGGAACGAAGACAGCUUCUGCACCAAGCCCUGUUGAAAUUCAAUUCAAGGCAGUAAAUAUGCAACAAAUGUUUAAUCAUUAAUGAAGAUGGUAUCCACUUCUAAUGGGGUCCUCUGUGAAGUUACCGACAGAAUGACUAGACUAGUAAGUGUGGGAAAAGAAUGAGAGAUCCGAAAAUGUUCCAAAAAGAGGCUAUCCCUACCAUUACACAGAGGUUUCUACCUUACUUAUACACCCAGAUCGUAAAGACAACUAAUGUAUCCAACUUUCCUGUGCAGGAAGAAAUGAUGGAAGAUACAAUCAGGAUGCAGGGAAACAAGGUUGACCCGUGAGAUAGAAUAUGUAUCGAGUUAUAGAUUGUAAUACUACAAGGGCAUUCCUUGUCAAUAUAUCUUGGAGAGGAAGUAAGUAACGAAGACAAGAAUAACCAAGAAGAUGAAAUCUAGGGUCAGCAACCACUUCAAUGUAGGUAUUGCGGUAACUUCCAUUAUUUUCACAGAUGCCCAGAGAACCAUAAACCACAAAAUGGCAAAGAGGUGAAAGCAGCUAAAUCCACAAUCUCUUGAGACUGGACAGGGCUGAACUGAGUAAAUUCCAGUUUACCAUCUCUCCCAUCAGUCAUCAUACCGAAAAGAAAAAAAAAAAAAAUACCAGCAAUAAGAAGUGAACACAAGAUUUGGAACAGAGGGACCUUAAUGCUUGCUUUAUUGUUAUUGACCAGAUAACUAGAAUUAUCUGCAUUAUCUAUGCAGAAUGGGGUUUUUAUUAUUUUUACUUAAAGAACUCCCUUUGGGGGAAUAACAAAACUUUGUAAAAGCCUGGUUUUCUCAACACACCUUUAAAUGUUUUUAAAUAGUUUCAUAUCUGGUCAAGAUUCUUAAGAAUUUCACUUUUAAAUUGUGUGAAGUUACACCUGAUCUCUUCAAAAGUUCACACACUGCAAGCACAAGUUUAAAUAAAGGUCUUUAAAUUUGAAAAAAUGUGUAAAAAUUAUUUUUAAAAUAAUUAGUGUCAAAGUCAAUAAAGUGAAAUUGAUCUUGUC